Molecule: ribosomal RNA, 482 nt
Filed under: uncultured bacterium
Lineage: Bacteria
Description: partial 16S ribosomal RNA
Rfam family: Bacterial small subunit ribosomal RNA
Source: RNAcentral
AUUGAACGCUGGCGGCAUGCUUUACACAUGCAAGUCGAACGGCAGCGCGGGCUUCGGCCUGGCGGCGAGUGGCGAACGGGUGAGUAAUGCAUCGGAACGUGCCCAGUAGUGGGGGAUAGCCCGGCGAAAGCCGGAUUAAUACCGCAUACGACCUGAGGGUGAAAGCGGGGGACCGAAAGGCCUCGCGCUAUUGGAGCGGCCGAUGUCGGAUUAGCUAGUUGGUGGGGUAAAGGCUUACCAAGGCGACGAUCCGUAGCUGGUCUGAGAGGACGACCAGCCACACUGGGACUGAGACACGGCCCAGACUCCUACGGGAGGCAGCAGUGGGGAAUUUUGGACAAUGGGGGCAACCCUGAUCCAGCCAUGCCGCGUGCGGGAAGAAGGCCUUCGGGUUGUAAACCGCUUUUGUUCGGGAAGAAAUCCUCUGGGCUAAUACCCCGGGGGGAUGACGGUACCGAAAGAAUAAGCACCGGCUAACUACG